GAAGGGAGCUUGCUCCCGGAUGUUAGCGGCGGACGGGUGAGUAACACGUGGGUAACCUGCCUGUAAGACUGGGAUAACUCCGGGAAACCGGAGCUAAUACCGGAUAGUUCCUUGAACCGCAUGGUUCAAGGAUGAAAGACGGUUUCGGCUGUCACUUACAGAUGGACCCGCGGCGCAUUAGCUAGUUGGUGGGGUAAUGGCUCACCAAGGCGACGAUGCGUAGCCGACCUGAGAGGGUGAUCGGCCACACUGGGACUGAGACACGGCCCAGACUCCUACGGGAGGCAGCAGUAGGGAAUCUUCCGCAAUGGACGAAAGUCUGACGGAGCAACGCCGCGUGAGUGAUGAAGGUUUUCGGAUCGUAAAGCUCUGUUGUUAGGGAAGAACAAGUGCGAGAGUAACUGCUCGCACCUUGACGGUACCUAACCAGAAAGCCACGGCUAACUACGUGCCAGCAGCCGCGGUAAUACGUAGGUGGCAAGCGUUGUCCGGAAUUAUUGGGCGUAAAGGGCUCGCAGGCGGUUUCUUAAGUCUGAUGUGAAAGCCCCCGGCUCAACCGGGGAGGGUCAUUGGAAACUGGGAAACUUGAGUGCAGAAGAGGA
RNAcentral lists this ribosomal RNA (602 nucleotides) under Bacillus pumilus. RNAcentral's name for it is "bacterial SSU rRNA". It matches the Rfam family "Bacterial small subunit ribosomal RNA", at positions 71 to 658 of the family's 1533-position model. The record is from RNAcentral. Lineage: Bacteria; Bacillati; Bacillota; Bacilli; Caryophanales; Bacillaceae.